GAUGAACGCUGGCGGCGUGCCUAAUGCGUGCAAGUCGAGCGAACAGAUGAGGAGCUUGCUCCUCUGACGUUAGCGGCGGACGGGUGAGUAACACGUGGAUAACCUACCUAUAAGACUGGGAUAACUUCGGGAAACCGGAGCUAAUACCGGAUAAUAUAUUGAACCGCAUGGUUCAAUAGUGAAAGACGGUUUUGCUGUCACUUAUAGAUGGAUCCGCGCCGCAUUAGCUAGUUGGUAAGGUAACGGCUUACCAAGGCAACGAUGCGUAGCCGACCUGAGAGGGUGAUCGGCCACACUGGAACUGAGACACGGUCCAGACUCCUACGGGAGGCAGCAGUAGGGAAUCUUCCGCAAUGGGCGAAAGCCUGACGGAGCAACGCCGCGUGAGUGAUGAAGGUCUUCGGAUCGUAAAACUCUGUUAUUAGGGAAGAACAAAUGUGUAAGUAACUAUGCACGUCUUGACGGUACCUAAUCAGAAAGCCACGGCUAACUACGUG
Molecule: ribosomal RNA, 497 nt
Filed under: uncultured bacterium
Lineage: Bacteria
Description: partial 16S ribosomal RNA
Rfam family: Bacterial small subunit ribosomal RNA
Source: RNAcentral